Molecule: ribosomal RNA, 414 nt
Filed under: uncultured archaeon CRE-PA4a
Lineage: Archaea
Also listed under: 1 other name
Description: bacterial SSU rRNA
Rfam family: Archaeal small subunit ribosomal RNA
Source: RNAcentral
UAUCGGAUUGAUACUAAGCCAUGCGAGUCAUUGUAGCAAUACAAGGCAUACGGCUCAGUAACGCGUAGUCAACCUAACCUAUGGACGGGAAUAACCUCGGGAAACUGAGAAUAAUGCCCGAUAGAACAUUAUGCCUGGAAUGGUUUAUGUUCCAAAUGAUUUAUCGCCGUAGGAUGGGACUGCGGCCUAUCAGUUUGUUGGUGAGGUAAUGGCCCACCAAGACUAUUACAGGUACGGGCUCUGAGAGGAGUAGCCCGGAGAUGGGUACUGAGACACGGACCCAGGCCCUAUGGGGCGCAGCAGGCGAGAAAACUUUGCAAUGUGCGAAAGCACGACAAGGUUAAUCCGAGUGAUUUGUGCUAAACGAAUCUUUUGUUAGUCCUAGAAACACUAACGAAUAAGGGGUGGGCAAGU